Long non-coding RNA from Oncorhynchus keta (chum salmon), 478 nucleotides. RefSeq lists it as uncharacterized. The transcript has 5 exons. The record is from RefSeq and is a predicted model, not a curated record. NCBI's taxonomy places the organism in Eukaryota, Metazoa, Chordata, Actinopteri, Salmoniformes, Salmonidae.
UGGUAGUAGGUGCCUUUGAACAGGGUGUGGUAGUAGGUGCCUUUGAACAGGGUGUGGUAGUAGGUGCCUUUGAACAGGGUGUGGUAGUAGGUGCCUUUGAACAGGGUAUGGUAGUAGGUGCCUUUGAACAGGGUAUGGUAGUAGGUGCCUUUGAACAGGGUAUGGUAGUAGGUGCCUUUGAACAGGGUAUGGUAGUAGGUGCCUUUGAACAGGGUGUGGUAGUAGGUGCCUUUGAACAGGGUGUGGUAGUAGGUGCCUUUGAACAGGGUGUGGUAGUAGGUGCCUUUGAACCGGGUGUGGUAGUAGGUGCCUUUGAACCGGGUGUGGUAGUAGGUGCCUUUGAACAGGGUGUGGUAGUAGGUGCCUUUGAACCGGGUGUGGUAGUAGGUGCCUUUGAACAGGGUGUGGUAGUAGGUGCCUUUGAACAGGGUAUGGUAGUAGGUGCCUUUGAACAGGGUGUGGUAGUAGGUGCCUUUGA